UCUCUCUCUGACCAUCAUAUCACAAUUGCAUCUCCCCAAUCCUCUCUCGUCAAAAACCCUUCCAUCCCCAUUCUUCAACCCCAAAUCUCAUAAAAACCCUAAUCUUCGACAUUUGAAACCGCCGCCGAUCCAGUUGCUGCCAAUCGAAGCCGUGUAGUGUAACCGGUCGGGUUGGUGAGUCGAUUGAACCAUACGGUUUACUGUUUUGCCGAUCUGAAGACGAACGCGAACAAGGUUAGUCGAUUUGACGGAGUUUCGGUCAUUGUUUCGCGAAAUCAACCAUAGACUUUAGGUUUCCGUUGUGAUUUGAAGUUUAUGGUUGUUUGGUUUUCAGUUUGGGUUAUGUGAAUCAGUGAAUUUCAGUGUUUUUUAGUCGUUGUUUGGUUUUUUUUUUGUUUCGUUUUUUAUGGUUGUUUUUCGAAAUAUAUUUGAUUAUUUUGUCUUAUUUGAUUGCAUCAUUGGUUUUUUAUGUCCGGAAUGUGUACUGUGUUUAUCGGCAAUGGUUUCCAUCAACAUAUCUCUACAACUGCUACAUCAUUGAACUAUUCGUACAUUAUCUCAUUCAUGUUUACAUCAUUUCACUGGUAAACUACAUCAUUUGGGUUUACAAUAUUUCAUUGAUUAGGUACAUUAUCCGUAAAAUCGACAUUUGAAGUGGUUGAUUGCAAACAACUUGGCUUCUGACUUGUCUGUGCAUCGGCUACAUUAUUUAACUGUUUCUGUUACAUUAUUCAUGUACAUCUCUGAACACGAAAAAAAAUUGUGACAAUGGUGAACAAGGGAAGGACUUCGAAGAGCCAAGCAAGCCAAGAUGCAAUUCACAUUUUUUCCACUUAUAUUCUACAUUAGCUGGUUACAUUAUCUGGACAACGGCCGACUUCGAUGAUGAUUUUGAUGAAGACAUUCCCUUUCAUUUAUACACCAAUCUAGGGAGGAAAUGACUGCGGAUAGGGAGGUUGAGCAUGCUGCCGCGUCAAAGUGUUUACAUUGUUUAUAAUAUUUAUGUUUUAAUGUACUAUUUGACUUUUGUACAUUAAUGAUAGCAUUGCGUGCAUUAUACAAUUGUACAUUAUUUAUUAUAUGAAUAGUACAUUAAUUGUAUAAAAACGCGUACAUUAUUUAUUAA
This is a long non-coding RNA of Salvia splendens (bonfire salvia), 1126 nucleotides long. RefSeq lists it as uncharacterized. Lineage: Eukaryota; Viridiplantae; Streptophyta; Magnoliopsida; Lamiales; Lamiaceae. The transcript is spliced from 2 exons. The record is from RefSeq and is a predicted model, not a curated record.